This 483-nucleotide ribosomal RNA is filed under the name uncultured bacterium. Its description in RNAcentral is "partial 16S ribosomal RNA". It matches the Rfam family "Bacterial small subunit ribosomal RNA", at positions 30 to 506 of the family's 1533-position model. The record is from RNAcentral.
AUUGAACGCUGGCGGCAGGCCUAACACAUGCAAGUCGAGCGGAUGAAGGGAGCUUGCUCCUGGAUUCAGCGGCGGACGGGUGAGUAAUGCCUAGGAAUCUGCCUGGUAGUGGGGGAUAACGUCCGGAAACGGGCGCUAAUACCGCAUACGUCCUGAGGGAGAAAGUGGGGGAUCUUCGGACCUCACGCUAUCAGAUGAGCCUAGGUCGGAUUAGCUAGUUGGUGGGGUAAAGGCCUACCAAGGCGACGAUCCGUAACUGGUCUGAGAGGAUGAUCAGUCACGCUUGACCUGAGACCCGGCCCAGCCUCCUCCGGGGGGCAGCGGGGGGGAAUUUUGGCCAAUGGGCGAAAGCCUGCUCCCGCCAGGCCGCGUGUGUGAAGAAGGUCUUCGGUUUGUAAAGCACUUUAAGUUGGGAGGAAGGGCAGUAAGUUAAUCCCUUGCUGUUUUGACGUUCCCAACAGAAUAAGCCCCGGCUAACUUCGU